UGAAACACACACUGUACAGUGGGCUGUUC
This 29-nucleotide non-coding RNA is filed under the name Rattus norvegicus (Norway rat). The record is from RNAcentral. Lineage: Eukaryota; Metazoa; Chordata; Mammalia; Rodentia; Muridae.